RNAcentral lists this ribosomal RNA (466 nucleotides) under uncultured bacterium. Its description in RNAcentral is "partial 16S ribosomal RNA". It matches the Rfam family "Bacterial small subunit ribosomal RNA", at positions 28 to 507 of the family's 1533-position model. The record is from RNAcentral.
GACGAACGCUGGCGGCGUGCUUAACACAUGCAAGUCGAACGGAAAGGCCCUGCUUGCAGGGUACUCGAGUGGCGAACGGGUGAGUAACACGUGGGUGAUCUGCCCUGCACUUCGGGAUAAGCUUGGGAAACUGGGUCUAAUACCGGAUAGGAGCCAUCUUUAGUGUGGUGGUUGGAAAGUUUUUUCGGUGUAGGAUGAGCUCGCGGCCUAUCAGCUUGUUGGUGGGGUAAUGGCCUACCAAGGCGGCGACGGGUAGCCGGCCUGAGAGGGUGUACGGCCACAUUGGGACAGAGAUACGGCCCAGACUCCUACGGGAGGCAGCAGUGGGGAAUAUUGCGCAAUGGGCGCGAGCCUGAUGCAGCGACGCCGCGUGGGGGAUGAAGGCCUUCGGGUUGUAAACUCCUUUCGCUAGGGACGAAGCUUUUUUGUGACGGUACCUAGAUAAGAAGCACCGGCUAACUACGUG